AUCCGAGCGUUAUCCGGAUUUAUUGGGUUUAAAGGGUGCGUAGGCGGCCUUUUAAGUCAGCGGUGAAAGUCUGUGGCUCAACCAUAGAAUUGCCGUUGAAACUGGGGGGCUUGAGUAUGUUUGAGGCAGGCGGAAUGCGUGGUGUAGCGGUGAAAUGCAUAGAUAUCACGCAGAACCCCGAUUGCGAAGGCAGCCUGCCAAGCCAUUACUGACGCUGAUGCACGAAAGCGUGGGGAUC
This 238-nucleotide ribosomal RNA is filed under the name uncultured bacterium. Its description in RNAcentral is "partial 16S ribosomal RNA". It matches the Rfam family "Bacterial small subunit ribosomal RNA", at positions 532 to 769 of the family's 1533-position model. The record is from RNAcentral.